Long non-coding RNA from Etheostoma spectabile (orangethroat darter), 400 nucleotides. RefSeq lists it as uncharacterized. The transcript has 2 exons. Lineage: Eukaryota; Metazoa; Chordata; Actinopteri; Perciformes; Percidae. The record is from RefSeq and is a predicted model, not a curated record.
GGUCUUACAGGGAGGUGUGUUCAGGUGCAUUUCUGGCGUGCUGGUCUUACAAGGAGGUGUGUUCAGGUGCAUUCUGGGCGUGCUGGUCUUACAGAGAGGUGCGUUCAGGUGCAUUCUGGGCGUGCUGGUCGUACAGGGAGGUGUGUUCAGGUGCAUUCUGGGCGUGCUGGUCUUACGGGAGGUGUGUUCAGGUGCAUUCUGGGAGUAUUGCUAUCUUGAGGCAGCGGGAAGUGAUCGUGCUACUGACUAACAAAAACCUGGUGUAAAGUCAGUUAUUUUAACAGCGCAAUAGGGAAAUGUGUCUAAGAUUGUGCACAGUGCGCGCACACUAUGUCUGUUACACACACAGGGAAGCAAAGCAGCACACACAAAUGCAAAAGAUUAAAAAUAAAAAUAUUAC